GUGCUCACUUCAGCAGCACAUAUACUAAAACUAGAACAAUACAGAGAAGAUUAGCAUGGGGUCUAUGCAAGGAUGACACACAGAUUCAUGAAGCAUUCCAUAAAUUU
Molecule: small nuclear RNA, 107 nt
Filed under: Spermophilus dauricus (Daurian ground squirrel)
Lineage: Eukaryota; Metazoa; Chordata; Mammalia; Rodentia; Sciuridae
Source: RNAcentral